GACGAACGCUGGCGGCGUGCCUAAUACAUGCAAGUUGAGCGCUGAAGGUUGGUACUUGUACCAACUGGAUGAGCAGCGAACGGGUGAGUAACGCGUGGGGAAUCUCCCUUUGAGCGGGGGACAACAUUUGGAAACGAAUGCUAAUACCGCAUAAAAACUUUAAACACAAGUUUUAAGUUUGAAAGAUGCAAUUGCAUCACUCAAAGAUGAUCCCGCGUUGUAUUAGCUAGUUGGUGAGGUAAAGGCUCACCAAGGCGAUGAUACAUAGCCGACCUGAGAGGGUGAUCGGCCACAUUGGGACUGAGACACGGCCCAAACUGCUACGGGCGGCAGCAGUAGGGAAUCAUCGGCGAUGGACGAGAGUCUGACCGAGCAACGCCGCGUGAGUGAAGAAGGGUUUCGGAUCGUAAAACUCUGUUGGUAGAGAAGAACGUUGGUGAGAGUGGAAAGCGCAUCAAGUGACGGUAACUACCCAGAAAGGGACGGCUAACUACGUG
RNAcentral lists this ribosomal RNA (497 nucleotides) under uncultured bacterium. RNAcentral describes it as "partial 16S ribosomal RNA". It matches the Rfam family "Bacterial small subunit ribosomal RNA", at positions 28 to 507 of the family's 1533-position model. The record is from RNAcentral.